AAGAUCGCGCCACUGCACUCCAGCCUGGGCAACAAGAGCAAAACUCCGUCUCAAAAACGAAAAAAAGAAGAAGGGCCUGGCUUCUUGGAAGUGGCAGCUACUGAUAGGAGUUUGGGUUUGUGUUUGCUGGGGGGAUGGUGGGAGCACAGGUUAGUCCCCAUCCUGGCCCCCUCCACGGAUGCCCCUAAACCUAUCAGAAUCUGGCAGUGGCGGGCUGCUCAGUUCCCUGCUGUCUAGCCUGGGGAAUGGCGACGUGGAAAGGGGAAAGCCCCACCUCCUAACGCCCCUUCUCCCAAGCUCCCCGUCCACCACCAAAGGCAGGAAGGACAGUUUCAGCGCAGCUUAUUCCCCCACCCCCAGCCCAGCCUAGAAGGAAACACAAACCCCUCCAGCCCGUGCCAUCCCUCCUGUGUGGGUCCUGCAUCAAGUCCUAAGUGCCUGUGAGGUCUUCCAGGGGCUUCGAGGGGAGGACGUGGGGCAGGGAGAGGCCUUUGCCUCCCUCACAGACACCCCUUUCCUGACAGGUCCUGACCCUGGCUGAGGCCACACAUUCUGUCACGCAGGGGUCUGGGAGGUGAGCAGAGUCAAGCUCUAGGGGUGACGAGCUCUUCUCCCAUCACAGCCCCAUGAAGAAGGGGGAGUCCCAGAUCACACCCCCUUUCUCUCCAUUUGUUGGAGCAGGAAAUUGGCAAGAAGUAGAAACCAGUGAGCGAGCGCACUCAGGGCCAAGCAAUGUGCGGCUCUCCCAGCUGACGCCACUCGGGACUGCCCAAGACCACUGAGCAAUAACCACGCCUGGUCUGGGGUGUCCAGCUCCUGGGAUGCAGAUGGCUGAGAACCUGUCUUGUGUGUGAGGGCCUCACUCCUCUCUCGGAGGUGCCCAGAGGACUGUGGGAAGAAGGGCAAAGUCUCUUUCCAGAGGAGCGUGCACAGACCCUCAUCUCCCACGACCACACUUUUGGGGUGAACAGGGUGACUUUGUUAGGUCGAUUCUUCUGCAGAGAUGGUGAAGUACUCUAUCUGCCCACCCACCCACUAAAAGCCAUAGCUCCGUCCGCCUGGCCUCCCCCCAGCUCUAUAGCAAUAGCCCCCUUCCCCCUUCCCUCCUGGGCAUCCAGGGUGUCCAGCUAGGGGCCCCCACCGCACUCUGGUCCCAGGGAUCUUCCAGUGGCCUGCCUGCUUCUCCCGAAGUGACCCCAUCAGCUCCACCCAACUCCCAUCCCUCUUCCAGCAACCACAGAUAAUGACAAUUGUUUGUGAGGUGCUUGGAGAUCCCCUAGAUGAAAGGUUCUGGGUGCUGGGGCAGCUGACUCACUGACUCUCAGCUGAGGUGCUGGAGGUGCCUGGGAAAGGAAAUAAGGCAAGCUGGGGGAGCACCUGUAGCAGAUACAGGGUUCCAGUUUUCACAGAAAUUCCCCUCCUCGCCCUCCUGGAAAUAAUGGAAACCCCUCCACCCGCCUGCACAGAACCCUCUGUGCAGCAGAACGAGACUGGGAGCUGGAGUGCAUGGCCCGCUCUUGGCCACAGGGGCCCAACUCUCCUCAGCCUCAGGGCCCUGGAGAGGCCCCACCCUCCCUGGGUCUGGCUUGAGAGCCCACCUGGCCAAAGGGAAACCUCGCACCCCCACGCGCUCCUGGCCCCUGGAAUAUCUUGGUGACUAAGAAGGGAAAGGACUGCAUUUCUCUCUCCUCUGCUGCACGAAUCCCCAUUGGGAGAGAGAGUGUUGAAGAGGACACUCAGGUCCCUAGGCGGAGCUCCUGCCACACCCCAAGUAUGGACAGCUCCAGGACACAGAGCUGCAGGUGGGGACCUCCCCCUGCUCUGGAAAUCAGCCAGGGAGCACUGGGCAGUGCGGUUUGAGGCUCUGUACCCCUGGCCCCCACAGCUCAGCCACAGCACCCUCUAGCUUGGGGGACUAGUCCAGGGCCAAAAUGGGAUAACCCUUCCCCAUAUAAGCAGUAGGAUGGCGUCCCCCCUGGUGGAGAGAGGAAGGAGGCCUAGAGGGUGUGGGGCAGCUUCGAAGCGCGGGGAGCCGGGGGUCUCCAAGCACCUUCUCCUGGACAUGCCAGCCUUGAAUGGGGGAUGUGCAGGGCUUCAAACCCACCUGGCAGGAGCCCUGUGGCAGGGCAGAGGGACCCUGCUCCAAAUUCUCUGUUGGCUGCGCUUUUGUAUCCAAUGCUUUUCAGAGUGUAUUCACUCACCCACAGAAAUAGAGCCCUGUGCUUUAGGGGUGACUGUCAUAUGCCUUAUUCUUAAUAAAAUCUCUGAAAAACA
RNAcentral lists this long non-coding RNA (2274 nucleotides) under Homo sapiens (human). Its description in RNAcentral is "HSALNT0388082". Lineage: Eukaryota; Metazoa; Chordata; Mammalia; Primates; Hominidae. The record is from RNAcentral.